GAUGAACGCUGGCGGCGUGUCUAAUACAUGCAAGUCGAGCGAACAGAUAAGGAGCUUGCUCCUUUGACGUUAGCGGCGGACGGGUGAGUAACACGUGGGUAACCUACCUAUAAGACUGGAAUAACUCCGGGAAACCGGGGCUAAUGCCGGAUAACAUUUAGAACCGCAUGGUUCUAAAGUGAAAGAUGGUUUUGCUAUCACUUAUAGAUGGACCCGCGCCGUAUUAGCUAGUUGGUAAGGUAACGGCUUACCAAGGCAACGAUACGUAGCCGACCUGAGAGGGUGAUCGGCCACACUGGAACUGAGACACGGUCCAGACUCCUACGGGAGGCAGCAGUAGGGAAUCUUCCGCAAUGGGCGAAAGCCUGACGGAGCAACGCCGCGUGAGUGAUGAAGGUCUUCGGAUCGUAAAACUCUGUUAUUAGGGAAGAACAAAUGUGUAAGUAACUGUGCACGUCUUGACGGUACCCAAUCAGAAAGCCACGGCUAACUACGUG
Molecule: ribosomal RNA, 497 nt
Filed under: uncultured bacterium
Lineage: Bacteria
Description: partial 16S ribosomal RNA
Rfam family: Bacterial small subunit ribosomal RNA
Source: RNAcentral